Molecule: long non-coding RNA, 487 nt
Organism: Vidua macroura (Pin-tailed whydah)
Lineage: Eukaryota; Metazoa; Chordata; Aves; Passeriformes; Viduidae
Exons: 3
Source: RefSeq, a predicted model, not a curated record
GAAACAUGGCAGCACUUCAUGGAUCACACCUCGGACAAAUAAACCAAAAAAAUUUUGGUGUUUGUUGGGCACCACAAGCUUUGGCCUCCAGAGAACUGAUUUGCCAAGACCUCCUUUUAUUUAAGGCUGUAAAGGUUUACCUGGAGGAAACACUCCUAGAGCAGCUUUAUUUUACACCAGGGAGAGUGGAAACUCAAAACCAGCGGCGAAUUUUUCUCUAAUAGUGCUUAAAAAAUUGGAAUUCUUCUGAAAUAUUGCUUUUAAAAACAUCAACAAAAGAAUCCUGCUUUCCCCCACAACCUGGGAUCCCCACUGGCAGCAGCCCCAGGUCAUUUGGGGUCUGCACCCAUCACGAACCUCAGUAUAAAACCCUAAGGGAGUUGUCCUUGUUGGAUGGAGCAGCCACUCCAAAACUCUGAAAAACUUCAGAGUUCAGACAUAAAACGUGUGAGCAUUUCAGAUCUGGAAAGAGAACUGCAUUAUUUGU